CUCUCGGGGUUACAGCCUUGCUGAAUUAUUCACCCUUGUCUUUUGCGUACUUCUUGUUUCCUUGGUGGGUUCGCCCACCACUAGGACAAACAUAAACCUUUUGUAAUUGCAAUCAGCGUCAGUAACAAAUUAAUAAUUACAACUUUCAACAACGGAUCUCUUGGUUCUGGCAUCGAUGAAGAACGCAGCGAAAUGCGAUAAGUAGUGUGAAUUGCAGAAUUCAGUGAAUCAUCGAAUCUUUGAACGCACAUUGCGCCCUUUGGUAUUCCAAAGGGCAUGCCUGUUCGAGCGUCAUUUGUACCCUCAAGCUUUGCUUGGUGUUGGGCGUCUUGUCUCUAGCUUUGCUGGAGACUCGCCUUAAAGUAAUUGGCAGCCGGCCUACUGGUUUCGGAGCGCAGCACAAGUCGCACUCUCUAUCAGCAAAGGUCUAGCAUCCAUUAAGCCUUUUUUUCAACUUUUGACCUCGGAUCAGGUAGGGAUACCCGCUGAACUUAAGCAUAUCAAUAAGCCGGAGGAAA
This 518-nucleotide ribosomal RNA is filed under the name Alternaria alternata. RNAcentral describes it as "eukaryotic LSU rRNA". The stretch from base 141 to 294 matches the Rfam family "5.8S ribosomal RNA". The record is from RNAcentral. Lineage: Eukaryota; Fungi; Ascomycota; Dothideomycetes; Pleosporales; Pleosporaceae.